RNAcentral lists this ribosomal RNA (118 nucleotides) under Spirulinaceae cyanobacterium RM2_2_10. The record is from RNAcentral. RNAcentral also lists the same sequence under 1 other name. Lineage: Bacteria; Bacillati; Cyanobacteriota; Cyanophyceae; Spirulinales; Spirulinaceae.
CCUGGUGCUUUUGGCACAGAUGCACCACUCCCAUCCCUUCCCGAACUGGGCUGUGAAACUCUGUUGCGGCUACGAUACUUGGAGGGUCGCCUCCUGGAACAAUAGCUCGGUGCCAGGG